This 74-nucleotide transfer RNA is filed under the name Synodus macrops (triplecross lizardfish). RNAcentral's name for it is "tRNA-Leu". It matches the Rfam family "tRNA". From Rfam's summary of the family: Transfer RNA (tRNA) molecules are approximately 80 nucleotides in length. Lineage: Eukaryota; Metazoa; Chordata; Actinopteri; Aulopiformes; Synodontidae. The record is from RNAcentral.
GUUUGGGUGGCAGAGCCUGGCCAGUGCAAAAGAUCUAAGCUCUUUCUACGAGGGUUCAAUUCCCUCCCUAAAUC